CAUAGUUAUAGAUGGACAGAGGAGUAGGAAAGGAAGAGAAAAGGGUACAAUCAUGCCACCCAUAAUCAAUUUCCAGUUUUAUUUUCUUAAAAUGACAAGAUGAAAAAAACUUCUAAUAAGCACCAUUGAAAAAAGUUGCCUGGCCAACAUGGGCAUGAGCUUAAAUAUUAUUUAAAUAAAUUCCAUUUCUGAAAAAAUACAGGACCUCUUAGAAACUUUUUGACUCCAGGAAGAAAUUUCCUGCAUCAUCUCCAAAACGCUUCCCAUGAUGACAAACAGAAUUUCUGAUGGCCUUUCAACAAAUGGGGAUAAUGGCUAGAUAGCACCAAGAGAUUGUGCAGGGGCUACAAAGUUAACGCUCUGAAUUUCAGGGAAGCUGGAUCAGUCUCGGCUCUUUCAUGCACCUCUGCAUUCUGUCCAUCUGUCCAUCACCAAUUUGACUACACAGUGCAAUCCCAUGUGGUGAGCUGUGUGUAAAAUAACCCAAUCUACAAUGGAAAAGCCAGUAGCAGCAAGUCUAUCUGAUGAAGCCAGUGGAGCAGACUUAUCAAAUGAGUCAAAUGCAAAAACCAGUACAUAACGCAGGAAGCAAAUUAUGUGUGGAAAAGUAUCACUGUUUAGCUGUGAAAUACGAAGACAGAUGACACUGAACACAACUCGGUAGGAUGUUCUCAAUGCCCUCAGGUCCAGUUUUCGGUCAUUUCCCCCCAAUGGUAGACUCAAGCACGAAAAAUGAUCGAUGCAAGAGCUUUCUGUUUCAUUUUGGUCUAUGUAUGCUCUUGUGAUAUUUUGGAAAGGUAUUUUUAGGCGCCUGAAAGGGGAAACAAGCACAUAAAUGCAAAAGGGAAAAAAAUGGACCUUCAAAACCAGGGCAGGAAAUCAAAUCAUUACUUUAACGUCAAAUUUUGGCAUCAAAUGCUUUGGUCAUACAAUACUGUCUCUGUGGUUCUGGCUGUUUAGCACUAAACACCCAGUUAUAAAAGGUAGGCUUGUUGUAGGUUUAUUUUUUUCUUUCAUUUAAGUUCUGACAAAACAGUUCACCAUCUCCCUGCACAAACUUGAGAGAAAGAGAGAAAGACAGAAGAGAGAGAGAAGAGAGCAAGAAAGAGAGAGGUGGCUUGCUUUUUUUUGGCUUGUUUUUUUUUUCUUUUUAAUAAUAUGGAAUAAUCUAUAACUCUACAGGAACAAGGAAAUCUAAGGUGGCUGCUCAGCCUUGGAAUGUACAUGUUUUGCAGCAAAGUUGUUGAAGAACCUUCCGUUGGCACAGAUUGUUCUUUUUCACAAGCAUACAGAAGCCUCCUUCGGCCCAGGACUCUUCCGUUGCUUUUCCGGGAAGUCAGCAAGAGAGAGGGAGAGUUGAGGACGAGAGCAGCGUGAUGUACACACACGGAAGAAGGUUGUGAUUGGCCAGAGAGGCAGAUUGGGGAUUGGAAGAGAUCAUUCAGGAGUAGUCAACAGGAGGAAAUUUGGUCCACCCAAAGUGAUUUCAGUCAACAGCAUUGUUUUUCAAGGAGAGAUAUUGCAGUCCAACGGUAAAUGUGAUUGGUAUCCAUUUUG
Long non-coding RNA from Carlito syrichta (Philippine tarsier), 1557 nucleotides. RefSeq lists it as uncharacterized. NCBI's taxonomy places the organism in Eukaryota, Metazoa, Chordata, Mammalia, Primates, Tarsiidae. The record is from RefSeq and is a predicted model, not a curated record. The transcript has 2 exons.